CCUACGGGUGGCAGCAGUGAGGAAUAUUGGUCAAUGGGCGCUAGCCUGAACCAGCCAAGUAGCGUGAAGGAUGACUGCCCUAUGGGUUGUAAACUUCUUUUAUAAGGGAAUAAAGUGCAGUAUGUAUACUGCUUUUCAUGUAACUUGUGAAUAAGGAUCGGCUAACUCCGGUCCCGCAGCCGCCGUAAUACGGAGGGUUCGAGCGUUUUCCGGAUUUAUUGGGGUUAAAGGGAGCGUAGGCGGGUUGUUAAGUCAGUUGGGAAAGUUUGGGGCCCAACCGUAAAAUUGCAGUUGAUACUGGCAUCCUUGAGUACAGUAGAGGUAGGCGGAAUUCGUGGUGUAGCGGUGAAAUGCUUAGAUAUCACGAAGAACUCCGAUUGCGAAGGCAGCCUGCUGGACUGUAACUGACGCUGAUGCUCGAAAGUGUGGGUAUCGAACAGGAUUAGAUACCCCGGUAGUC
RNAcentral lists this ribosomal RNA (460 nucleotides) under uncultured bacterium. RNAcentral describes it as "partial 16S ribosomal RNA". It matches the Rfam family "Bacterial small subunit ribosomal RNA", at positions 338 to 795 of the family's 1533-position model. The record is from RNAcentral.